Molecule: ribosomal RNA, 1223 nt
Filed under: Candidatus Phytoplasma trifolii
Lineage: Bacteria; Bacillati; Mycoplasmatota; Mollicutes; Acholeplasmatales; Acholeplasmataceae
Description: bacterial SSU rRNA
Rfam family: Bacterial small subunit ribosomal RNA
Source: RNAcentral
GAUAGGAAACAAAAAGGCAUCUUUUUGUUUUUAAAAGACCUUCUUAUGAAGGUAUGCUUAAAGAGGGGCUUGCGCCACAUUAGUUAGUUGGUAGGGUAAAAGCCUACCAAGACGAUGAUGUGUAGCUGGACUGAGAGGUUGAACAGCCACAUUGGGACUGAGACACGGCCCAAACUCCUACGGGAGGCAGCAGUAGGGAAUUUUCGGCAAUGGAGGAAACUCUGACCGAGCAACGCCGCGUGAACGAUGAAGUAUUUCGGUAUGUAAAGUUCUUUUAUUGAAGAAGAAAAAGUAGUGGAAAAACUAUAUUGACGUUAUUCAAUGAAUAAGCCCCGGCUAACUAUGUGCCAGCAGCCGCGGUAAGACAUAGGGGGCGAGCGUUAUCCGGAAUUAUUGGGCGUAAAGGGUGCGUAGGCUGUUAGAUAAGUCUAUAAUUUAAUUUCAGUGCUUAACGCUGUCUUGUUAUAGAAACUGUCUUGACUAGAGUGAGAUAGAGGCAAGCGGAAUUCCAUGUGUAGCGGUAAAAUGUGUAAAUAUAUGGAGGAACACCAGAAGCGUAGGCGGCUUGCUGGGUCUUUACUGACGCUGAGGCACGAAAGCGUGGGUAGCAAACAGGAUUAGAUACCCUGGUAGUCCACGCCGUAAACGAUGAGUACUAAGUGUCGGGGUAAAACUCGGUACUGAAGUUAACACAUUAAGUACUCCGCCUGAGUAGUACGUACGCAAGUAUGAAACUUAAAGGAAUUGACGGGACUCCGCACAAGCGGUGGAUCAUGUUGUUUAAUUCGAAGAUACACGAAAAAUCUUACCAGGUCUUGACAUACUCUGCAAAGCUAUAGAAAUAUAGUGGAGGUUAUCAGGGAUACAGGUGGUGCAUGGUUGUCGUCAGUUCGUGUCGUGAGAUGUUAGGUUAAGUCCUAAAACGAGCGCAACCCUUGUCGUUAAUUGCCAGCACGUAAUGGUGGGGACUUUAGCGAGACUGCCAAUUAAACAUUGGAGGAAGGUGAGGAUUACGUCAAAUCAUCAUGCCCCUUAUGAUCUGGGCUACAAACGUGAUACAAUGGCUGUGACAAAGAGUAGCUGAAACGCGAGUUUUUAGCCAAUCUCAAAAAAGCAGUCUCAGUUCGGAUUGAAGUCUGUAACUCGACUUCAUGAAGUUGGAAUCGCUAGUAAUCGCGAAUCAGCAUGUCGCGGUGAAUACGUUCUCGGGGUUUGUACACACC